Molecule: signal recognition particle RNA, 252 nt
Filed under: Chlorocebus sabaeus (green monkey)
Lineage: Eukaryota; Metazoa; Chordata; Mammalia; Primates; Cercopithecidae
Description: Metazoan signal recognition particle RNA
Rfam family: Metazoan signal recognition particle RNA
About the family: The signal recognition particle (SRP) is a universally conserved ribonucleoprotein. It is involved in the co-translational targeting of proteins to membranes.
Source: Rfam by way of RNAcentral
GCCGGGCGUGGUGGCACGCACCUGUAGUCCCAGCUACUCGGGAGGCUGAGGCAGGAGAAUCACUUGAACUCAGGAGGUGGAGGUUGCAGUGAGCCAAGAGAGCGCCACUGCACUCCAGUUUGGGUGACAGAGCGUGACUCUGUCUNUUUUUGAGACGGAGUCUCGCUCUGUCGCCCAGGCUGGAGUGCAGUGGCAUGAUCUUGGCUCACUGCAAGCUCCACCUCCUGGGUUCACAUCAGUCUCCUGCCUCAG